GGAGGAAUUCAGGAUAGGAAUAUAUAGGUGUUGUGUUACUUCAAGUCAUUCAGCCGUUUACUUUAGUAAAGAAACUUCAUGGAUCCAUCAUGAACUAUUGCACUUAUAACAACUUUAUGUUCUUAUUAAGAAAUAUAUCAUAUAUACUGAUCAUGAGUUACUUAAAUAGAUCUCUAAGGAGAUGAUAAGUUAAACAAAAGAGUGGAUAGACUCUUUUGCAACAAUACUCUUAUAUUAUUAAAUAUUCUCACACAUUAAUACUAGAAAAUAAAGCAAUAAUAGUCAUCAAAAUGUUGGUCUCCUUUAAUCUUCUUGAAAUGUUAUUACAUUAUAAGUUUCUUAAGAGUAAAAUAUGAACCAAGCAGCACCAAAUCAUGAUUAUUUAUUUAUAUUUCUACUUUACGUAGAAUGAGUUGAGCACCAUAUUGGGGUUGAAGAGUAAGCACAGUUGAUGGAGCAUGGGUAUAGGUNNNN
This 474-nucleotide long non-coding RNA is filed under the name Vigna radiata. RNAcentral describes it as "long non-coding RNA (VRAD_LNC004115)". Lineage: Eukaryota; Viridiplantae; Streptophyta; Magnoliopsida; Fabales; Fabaceae. The record is from RNAcentral.